Manis javanica (Malayan pangolin) is the source of this 420-nucleotide non-coding RNA. NCBI's taxonomy places the organism in Eukaryota, Metazoa, Chordata, Mammalia, Pholidota, Manidae. The record is from RefSeq and is a predicted model, not a curated record.
GUGGAAGGAGCGCACGGGGCGCAGCUGCUCCAGCACCGCAAAGAGCCUCAGCUUCCGCACAUCCCAGAUCCACACGGCAUUCGGGACAUUGUCUGGGCAAGGAAGACCCACAGAAGAGAAGACAAGCAUGCACAGCCUCCCAGGCCGUGUGGCGGGACCCAGAGCUCGCUGCAGCCCCAGGCUUGGGCCCCGUACCGCUGGCUGCCUCCUGACCCCUCUGGCUCAUCCACGGAGAUUUUAUUCAUGAAAAAACACUGCCCUCAAAGCACCAGCGUCAAAUCUGGAUUUCCAGAGCUUGUAUGCAGUUGAAAAAACUGACCGGGGGGAAGGGGGGUUCUCCUGACUCACUGGCCGAGAUAUACUGGCUGUGACGUAUCACAGGGAAGGAAAAAUGGAGUAAAAAAUAACUUCUGAAAUCUA